UACGUAGGGUGCGAGCGUUGUCCGGAAUUAUUGGGCGUAAAGAGCGUGUAGGCGGCUUGGUAAGUCCGCUGUGAAAGUCCAGGGCUCAACCCUGGAAAGCCGGUGGAAACUGUCAAGCUUGAGUCCGGAAGAGGCGAGUGGAAUUCCUGGUGUAGCGGUGAAAUGCGCAGAUAUCAGGAGGAACACCAAUGGCGAAGGCAGCUUGCUGGGACGGUACUGACGCUGAGACGCGAAAGCGUGGGGAGCAAACAGG
RNAcentral lists this ribosomal RNA (253 nucleotides) under uncultured bacterium. RNAcentral describes it as "partial 16S ribosomal RNA". It matches the Rfam family "Bacterial small subunit ribosomal RNA", at positions 524 to 776 of the family's 1533-position model. The record is from RNAcentral.